Nymphalis io (European peacock) is the source of this 252-nucleotide long non-coding RNA. RefSeq lists it as uncharacterized. The transcript is spliced from 2 exons. The record is from RefSeq and is a predicted model, not a curated record. Lineage: Eukaryota; Metazoa; Arthropoda; Insecta; Lepidoptera; Nymphalidae.
AGAAGUCCCACUCCGUAGUUUUCUCAAUUUCCAUUUCUGAUAUUUUCUCUUGUAACAGUAGAGCUGAUAUGUCGUCUGGAAUGUAAUUAAGAAGAAUUAAAGUACCAGUAGCCAAGGUCCUUGAAACUGAAUGCACGUUAAAAAAGGUCAGCGAAUCUGGGGUCCGAAACUAGUUAAUCAUAAAAUCAUACCAGGAUCCGGUUUGAUAGGUUUAACUCUUCCAAUGAGGCUGGGCAAGAAGUCGGUUCUUCG